GAUGAAGGAACGUAGCGAAAUGCGAUAAGUAAUGUGAAUUGCAGAAUUCAGUGAAUCAUCGAAUCUUUGAACGCACAUUGCGCCCGCCAGUAUUCUGGCGGGCAUGCCUGUUCGAGCGUCAUUACAACCCUCAGGCCCCCGGGCCUGGCGUUGGGGAUCGGCGGAGCCCCCCGUGGGCACACGCCGUCCCCCAAAUACAGUGGCGGUCCCGCCGCAGCUUCCAUCGCGUAGUAGCUAACACCUCGCGACUGGAGAGCGGCGCGGCCACGCCGUAAAACACCCAACUCUUCUGAAGUUGACCUCGAAUCAGGUAGGAAUACCCGCUGAACUUAAGCAUAUCAAUAAGCGGGGA
Molecule: unclassified non-coding RNA, 352 nt
Filed under: soil metagenome
Description: partial contains 5.8S ribosomal RNA, internal transcribed spacer 2, and large subunit ribosomal RNA
Rfam family: 5.8S ribosomal RNA (bases 1-121)
Source: RNAcentral